CACCGUGGUUCAGAAGUCUAAAGGC
This 25-nucleotide non-coding RNA is filed under the name Cricetulus griseus (Chinese hamster). The record is from RNAcentral. Lineage: Eukaryota; Metazoa; Chordata; Mammalia; Rodentia; Cricetidae.